AAUAGAUGACGCUGUUGACUUUUUCUCAUAUGUUUGACCAUUCAUCUUAUUUAAAAAUUUUACAUAAUUAUAAUUUAUUUUGUUACGAGUUGUUUUAUCACUCAUAGUACUUUAAGUGUGAUUUAUAUCUUAUAUAUUUGCAUAAAUUUUUUGAAUAAGACGAAUGAUCAAACAUGUAAGAAAAAGUCAACGGCGUUAUCUGUU
This 204-nucleotide microRNA precursor is filed under the name Oryza sativa Japonica Group (Japanese rice). RNAcentral's name for it is "MIR812 microRNA precursor family". It matches the Rfam family "MIR812 microRNA precursor family". Lineage: Eukaryota; Viridiplantae; Streptophyta; Magnoliopsida; Poales; Poaceae. The record is from Rfam by way of RNAcentral.